This 64-nucleotide transfer RNA is filed under the name Tacola eulimene. RNAcentral's name for it is "tRNA-Thr". Lineage: Eukaryota; Metazoa; Arthropoda; Insecta; Lepidoptera; Nymphalidae. The record is from RNAcentral.
GUUUCUAUAGUUUAUAAAAACCUUGGUCUUGUAAAUCAAAAAUAAGAUAUUUUCUUUAGAAACU